RNAcentral lists this ribosomal RNA (386 nucleotides) under Hydronaphis impatiens. RNAcentral's name for it is "partial 12S ribosomal RNA". The record is from RNAcentral. Lineage: Eukaryota; Metazoa; Arthropoda; Insecta; Hemiptera; Aphididae.
AUUUUAGUCUUAUUAGAGGAACCUGUUUAUUAAUUGAUAAUCCACGAUUAAUUUUACUUAUUUAAUUUAAUUCAUAUAUCGCUGUCAUGAAUAUAUUAAAAAAUUUAUUUUCUUUAUUUAUUUUUAUAAUUUAUGUUAAGUCAAGAUGUGGUUUAUAGAUAAGUAUAUAAUGGGUUACAUUAAAUUUUAUUUUUGGAUUUUAAAUGAAAAUUAAAAUGAAAUUGGAUUUAAUAGUAAAUUUAUUUAUUUAAUUAAUAUGAAGAAAGAUCUAAAAUAUGUACAUAUUGCCCGUCAUUCUUAUUAAAAAUAAGACAAGUCGUAACAAAGUAAAUGUACUGGAAAGUGUAUUUAGAAAGAUUUUAUUUUGAUAUAAAUAAAUAUCUAAA